This 52-nucleotide small RNA is filed under the name Arabidopsis thaliana (thale cress). Its description in RNAcentral is "ATSL002960". Lineage: Eukaryota; Viridiplantae; Streptophyta; Magnoliopsida; Brassicales; Brassicaceae. The record is from RNAcentral.
UUUACCUUCAAAGACGAGAACAAAGGACGGAUAUAACCCCUUACUUGAUGAC